CGUGCCCUCGGCACAAUCUAAUGCAAAACCCGCAAUCUGGGUCCACCGUCAACCCCGACGGCACCCGACAGUCCAAAACAGUCUAGACACUACUGUAAAAAUAAGCUCGGCAUCUCCGUACGAGCGUAACUGCAUUCUACACUAUCCCAAGUAUCUACCGCGAACAAACUGCGGUGAUACAGAUCUACUAUAGCUCCUAAGCUU
Molecule: long non-coding RNA, 204 nt
Filed under: Ananas comosus (pineapple)
Lineage: Eukaryota; Viridiplantae; Streptophyta; Magnoliopsida; Poales; Bromeliaceae
Description: long non-coding RNA (ACOM_LNC031441)
Source: RNAcentral